GGGGGUGACCGGUUUCGACUUUGGCCUUGCAAGACAGUGGGAAGCGAGCCGAGGACGGCGGACAUAACCUCGUUAAUCCUGUGACCGCGAAAAAUAAGUGCCAAUAAGAAGCACGCUGAGAUGCCCGCCCAGGCUUCCCUGGGCCUCGCUGCCUAAGUAGCGAACAUCUCUGUCGGCUCGGGAGCGCCUCCGGCCCGAGAUCCGGCAUCGCUAGGAGGCUCAACCGAUCUGACCGGCUACGGGGAGGAUCGGGAAAUCAAACAGUAGCUGAGCCCGUCGGCGACUUGCCUGCGUGAUCGCCGGGGCCGAGAAACUCACAGCAGGCUGCGCUCGGAGAAUCCCUGGCUUGGGGUUGAAGGACGCGGGUUCGAUUCCCGCCACCUCCACUC
RNAcentral lists this transfer-messenger RNA (389 nucleotides) under Thermocatellispora tengchongensis. Its description in RNAcentral is "Standard tmRNA". It matches the Rfam family "transfer-messenger RNA". From Rfam's summary of the family: Bacterial tmRNA, also known as 10Sa RNA or SsrA, is named for its dual tRNA and mRNA-like properties. Lineage: Bacteria; Bacillati; Actinomycetota; Actinomycetes; Streptosporangiales; Streptosporangiaceae. The record is from Rfam by way of RNAcentral.